RNAcentral lists this ribosomal RNA (497 nucleotides) under uncultured bacterium. RNAcentral describes it as "partial 16S ribosomal RNA". It matches the Rfam family "Bacterial small subunit ribosomal RNA", at positions 28 to 507 of the family's 1533-position model. The record is from RNAcentral.
GAUGAACGCUGGCGGCGUGCCUAAUACAUGCAAGUCGAGCGAACAGACGAGGAGCUUGCUCCUCUGACGUUAGCGUCGGACGGGUGAGUAACACGUGGAUAACCUACCUAUAAGACUGGGAUAACUUCGGGAAACCGGAGCUAAUACCGGAUAAUAUAUUGAACCGCAUGGUUCAAUAGUGAAAGACGGUUUUGCUGUCACUUAUAGAUGGAUCCGCGCCGCAUUAGCUAGUUGGUAAGGUAACGGCUUACCAAGGCAACGAUGCGUAGCCGACCUGAGAGGGUGAUCGGCCACACUGGAACUGAGACACGGUCCAGACUCCUACGGGAGGCAGCAGUAGGGAAUCUUCCGCAAUGGGCGAAAGCCUGACGGAGAAACGCCGCGUGAGUGAUGAAGGUCUUCGGAUCGUAAAACUCUGUUAUUAGGGAAGAACAAAUGUGUAAGUAACUAUGCACGUCUUGACGGUACCUAAUCAGAAAGCCACGGCUAACUACGUG